Molecule: long non-coding RNA, 938 nt
Organism: Pogoniulus pusillus (Red-fronted tinkerbird)
Lineage: Eukaryota; Metazoa; Chordata; Aves; Piciformes; Lybiidae
Exons: 2
Source: RefSeq, a predicted model, not a curated record
GUCGGCUGGGAACAGCAGCUAGGCCGAGCGUUCCGCACACCAGCGUUCUGCCCGCCCCGUCGCGGCUCCGGUCUUCAUUUCGUGACAGGAGCUGCAGGCUCGUGAAUCAAGUCUUGAGACGGCCUUUCUAAAGCAUUUAGUAGUUGGAGAAGAUGCCCAAGGAUUUCAGUUUGGGCCAUAAAAAAACUUACCUCUAAUAAUUAACUCUGCUGAGAUGGUUCUCAUUGUUUCUGUCAUAGAACAGUCACUAAAUUGGCUCUGUGUUAAGGAAGCCGGUUCUGCUUCAAUGGGAGGCUGGCUUCUCCAUGCCAGUUUCCUAAAAGUUAGCUAUUUCUUGCUAUUUAGGAAACAUUUAAAAGAGUCAACAUGUUGAUUCGAGCUCCCAGAAGAGUGGUUUUUAAGACUGCUGUCAGUAGUAGAGGUGAGGACAAAUGAAACAGGCAGCAGCACCCCUAACUGUGCUGUCACUGUAUCUGACAAGCAAAGUGACCAUUCCAAAGGACAAUCUUUUAUUUCAGAAUAUAAGUUGCUUAAAAGAAAUGUAAAAGUAACUUCCUUUACAAUCAGCUAAUUCAAGAGCCUCUCACCUUUAUCUAAAGCCUGUAGUACUGUAAGCAUUAAACACUGGACCACUGUUUUCAGCCUGUACUGUGCUUUGUGUGCACAGAUGUUUCCCCAGCAGUGAUUCAGCAUCUGCCUCCUGAUUACUGCCUUACUUCUCGCUGUUUUCAGAGAGAGUGCAGGUGUCCAAGUAGGAGCAUGGAAUCCCUCUAUGUAUUCAGUAUAGCUAUUGCACUUUUUCAUGUUUGCUUGCCUUCCAUCUGGGUAGAUGUCAACCACAGCUCAGAGGAAUCAUGUAGUAAGAACAGGCCAGCAAAGCAAGGGAAAAUGGAGUCAAGUUUCUCUUUCUUCAAAAUCUGUCCGCAACUAAAGAGUAA